GGCUGCCUUUCAAAGUCCAUUUUCUUUUUUUUUUCCUAGGCUGAGUCUUCCUGUCUCACCCAUGCUUGAAGUAUCCCAUCAGGAAUAGGCAAAGGAAUCUUGUUCUACUCCAAUUUAGCCCCUCCUUAGAAAUCCUGGGGCCCUGCCCUUCAUCAAGGGGCUCUCUAUAGUGGCGCUAGGUACCCAAUCAAAUUUAGCCUGUAAUGGGAAAAGGAUGGAAAUAGGAUAAGAUUUAAGAGAAGUGGAAGACUCUUUUAGGAAGUCAAGGGAAAGGAUUUUAGCAGGCAGAAGGCAGAGGAGGAACAGUUUGGAAGUGACAACUGCUAGAGUAAUGACUUCCUGUAGGAGGUUGGGCUCUUCCUGUCCAGAAGGGUGGAGGAAAGGUGGUUCCUCGAGCUCAUCUACCUCAACCUGACUGUGGAGAAGGAGUAACUCCUAAAUCAUCUUUGGAGAUAUCGAUCUUGCUUUGUACCAUCAGUUCAGAGGCCACAGCUACAGCCUCAUUCAAGACCGUGACUAUAGGUGAUCAGCCUCCAAAGCACAGAAGAAAUAGGGGCUGAAGAAAGUGAUUUAUCCCGUUUUGUUGGCCUUUUAUUACAGAAACAGAUGUUGUGAGUUUUCCUGGCUGAAGAGAUCGAAGACAGAGCAGGACAGGUAACCAGUGAAGCUUUCCCCACUGAGCGCCAAGAGCUUAAAGCCACGACCAUCCCAGCAAUGAGUCAUUUUAUCAGAUGGGCCCAAAGAGCUAGAGUCAGUGAAGGAAUGAAUGAGGAUAUGAUGUGGCUGCUUGAAAAUUUCAAGAGAUUUCUCCUGGGCUUUGGACCCAGAUAUGGACAAAAAAGAGAAGAAUGAAGGUUUGUUUACUUACAUUAAAGAUCACUUAAAUUCAAA
This is a long non-coding RNA of Monodelphis domestica (gray short-tailed opossum), 891 nucleotides long. RefSeq lists it as uncharacterized. Lineage: Eukaryota; Metazoa; Chordata; Mammalia; Didelphimorphia; Didelphidae. The record is from RefSeq and is a predicted model, not a curated record.